This is a long non-coding RNA of Mastomys coucha (southern multimammate mouse), 154 nucleotides long. RefSeq lists it as uncharacterized. The record is from RefSeq and is a predicted model, not a curated record. Lineage: Eukaryota; Metazoa; Chordata; Mammalia; Rodentia; Muridae. The transcript is spliced from 2 exons.
CGGAUUAAGACACCAAUCCAGCCACAAAAUCUUUGACCUAUAAUUUGUCCUGUCUGCAUGAUAUGCUGUGGUAAAGAGUCGAUUUGCAACCCUCAGCAAGGCAAGGUUUUUAUUACUUCAUUAAACAUUCUUUCCAGGAUAUUUAUAUCUGGAU